RNAcentral lists this ribosomal RNA (404 nucleotides) under uncultured bacterium. RNAcentral describes it as "bacterial SSU rRNA". It matches the Rfam family "Bacterial small subunit ribosomal RNA", at positions 976 to 1380 of the family's 1533-position model. The record is from RNAcentral.
UGGGUUUGACAUGCACAGGAUUGCGGCAGAGAUGUCGUUUCCCUUGUGGCCUGUGUGCAGGUGGUGCAUGGCUGUCGUCAGCUCGUGUCGUGAGAUGUUGGGUUAAGUCCCGCAACGAGCGCAACCCUUGUUCCAUGUUGCCAGCACGUAGUGGUGGGGACUCAUGGGAGACUGCCGGGGUCAACUCGGAGGAAGGUGGGGAUGACGUCAAGUCAUCAUGCCCCUUAUGUCCAGGGCUUCACACAUGCUACAAUGGCUCAUACAGAGGGCUGCGAGACCGUGAGGUGGAGCGAAUCCCUUAAAGUGAGUCUCAGUUCGGAUCGGGGUCUGCAACUCGACCCCGUGAAGUUGGAGUCGCUAGUAAUCGCAGAUCAGCAUUGCUGCGGUGAAUACGUUCCCGGGCC